GCAAACUUGGUCAUUUAGAGGAAGUAAAAGUCGUAACAAGGUCUCCGUUGGUGAACCAGCGGAGGGAUCAUUACUGAGUUAUCAAAACUCCAAACCCUUUGUGAACCUUACCGUCGUUGCCUCGGCGUGAGCUACGGCUACCCUGUAACUACCCUGGAGCUACCCUAGAGUUACCCUAUAGCUACCCUGCACUUACCCUGCAGCUACCCUAUAGCUACCCUAUAGCUACCCUGGAGCUACCCUGGAGCUACCCUGUAGUCGGCUUCGGCCCGCCGAAGGACCGUUAAACUCUUGUUUUUUUACCACUGUUUCUCUGAAUUUUAAACUAAAAUUAGUUAAAACUUUCAACAACGGAUCUCUUGGUUCUGGCAUCGAUGAAGAACGCAGC
RNAcentral lists this unclassified non-coding RNA (388 nucleotides) under uncultured fungus. Its description in RNAcentral is "partial contains small subunit ribosomal RNA, internal transcribed spacer 1, and 5.8S ribosomal RNA". The stretch from base 1 to 73 matches the Rfam family "Eukaryotic small subunit ribosomal RNA", at positions 1759 to 1831 of the family's 1831-position model. The record is from RNAcentral. Lineage: Eukaryota; Fungi.